AGGCUGUUGAGUGCAGCUGGUUCGUUCCUGUCCGCCAGGCAGGACGUCGUAAGAGGGAACCCGGUGGGAAUCCGGGACUGCCCCGCAGCGGUGAGUGGGAACGACCGCCGUCAUACGCACUGGGCCCGGCCGGGUCUGGGAAGCGACGGCCAGUAGGUGUCUCGUGGCCGACACGAGACGGGCCCGCGAGUCCGAAGACCUGCCCGUUGCCCGUGCGCGAC
This 221-nucleotide non-coding RNA is filed under the name Streptomyces niveus. Lineage: Bacteria; Bacillati; Actinomycetota; Actinomycetes; Kitasatosporales; Streptomycetaceae. The record is from RNAcentral.